Long non-coding RNA from Thalassophryne amazonica, 3910 nucleotides. RefSeq lists it as uncharacterized. The transcript is spliced from 2 exons. Lineage: Eukaryota; Metazoa; Chordata; Actinopteri; Batrachoidiformes; Batrachoididae. The record is from RefSeq and is a predicted model, not a curated record.
AAUGAUCCUGCACCUUUCCCAUCACCGAAAAACCUGUAAAUUAAGAACACAAAAAGGAACAAAACAAAAAAAUUAACCGAACAUUGACCUCAACGCUUUAAAUGAAAUUGAAACAAAACAUUCACGAUGUCGUGAUCGACAGCGAGUAUAAGUCUGAGUGCAGCUAGCCCUGUCCUCAUGUCUGCAACGCCUGCAGGAUCUGGUUGUCUUGACAACAGGUGAAAGAUGUUUGUCUUCACAACUUGUGUGCACACAUGUUCCAGCCACAAACGGCUGGAACAUGCGUAAAUAGUUAAAGUAGUUGAUAAAAUGUUCUCACCACUAUUGUUUCUGUACGACAACGUUGCUUUUCGUCCCACACGUGGAUUAGUCAUCAGCGAUACAAGGAUGUUACAUGCAACUUGUCAGAGCUUUAGUUAUUGAUCCCUUCAGAUAUCGUCAAUGUUUGAGCAUUACGUCAGAUUUGGGAAGUCCGUCAAGAAACCGUCAAGACAGAAAGCAAAACCGGAUAUGGACAAAUUGAGGUUGUCAUCAGGAUUUGUUCACAUUUUUCAAAUUUGACAAUUCUGACGAAGUGCCAACUACAGGAACAAAGCUGGACGACAGUUAAAUGAUGCCUCCGAAAAUCAAUGUAAGUCCAGAUUUCUUGCUUCGUUUGGGCUUUGUUGUCCUUCGUUCGUGCCGUGUGACCGGGGCUUAAUGCAAGUGAUGUGCAAGGUGUAGUCUGUUAACAAACCCGCUUAAAAUAAAAUCAACAUGCAACACAGCCACCAUGCACACACAUUGCAGCUGGUUUUCGCUUUAACGUUGAAUUGUUCCUGUUGUGACGUUUCACUAAAUUACUCCCUAAGCCAAGCAGGUUUUUAGUGCCACUUAAGGGUACUAAACUGCACUACAACCCAGCCUCAAUGUACCAUGGCCUACACAACAAUGGUGGCCAUCCCAGGGUGGCAGCUAUAGCCAGGUAGGGUUCAAUGAUGAAUAUUUACACAGAGGUCAAACAUUUUCCACAUUAUUUGUGUGAUCAUAAAGAUUCCAAAAGGAUAUAGUUUAAACUAACUAUGGUUGAAAGUUAUAGAGGUAUGGGGUUAAAAAUGGGGAAAAAAAUGGCGACAAAGGUCAAAGUCAAAGUUGGUCCAAUUUUAGUGUAAAGUGAUGCAGUUUAUUGGCUGAGUUAAAUAAGUUAAUGAGUUAAUGAGUUAAUGAGUUAAAUAAAAUUAAAAGUUUGAACAAUCUGUCAUUCUUGGUUAUAACGCUGCAGGCUGAAGUAUGUCAUAGAAUCCAAUAGACGUCGACUUUCAUUUAGUCAGGCAUUGGCCCUUUACGUUUCAGCCAUUCAUCUUCUACUUAUCAAAGAUCCAUUUUUGUAAUUUUUUUUUUUUUUGUCUUGGUGGUGGGGGGGACUAGUGCACCAUGUGAAGGAGUUCUGAGCUUAUCUACAACAUUAUUUCCCUUAUUAGCAUAUCAACUAGGGCGGUUUGGGGGGUGCGUGGCAGAUCUGGCUUGCAGAGCCAGUGGUCAGCAGGUUGCAGUGAAGCAGUGUUUUCAUUCAUACAUGUAGGGCAGCUCUGGUUUUUUUUUUUUUUUUAAUUUAGGUGCAGUAUUCUGGUACUUCCGCCUCUCUCCUUCUGACUGUAUGGUACACGGUUCGGUCAUUUUGUUUUGUACCAAACACACUGAGCCCUGCUUUUCUACAUACUUGAUUCUUAUCCCAUGUUAGCUGAAUGUGUUGGGCUUGUUGGGUCUUGGUGGAGGUUAGAUACUCUCUGACUGCCAUCUGCUGUCCUCUUGCAGUAGUUAACUUUCAAUAUAAAAUGCACAAAGAUUAGCUCUACAUAAUAACCCGCAACUGUGGGACCAACAAGUCACGCUGUUACACCAUCAAGCUUCUGACCUGCUUAUUUGACAGCACACACAAAAAAUUGUGUUGCAAUUUUCACAUGUAAUCAGGGCCUUAGUCUAGGUCACAUGUACAUUUACAAUUUCAGAACCUGUAAAAGGUUUAUUUACAUGCUUAAUGCUUAAAUGUCAUUUAACAUUUAAUAAAUUACAGAUGCACUAAACAAAAACAAUUGCUUAAUUUGGCUCAAUUCAUGCCUUUGUUUUAAAUUUAGACAGUCAGCAAAUUAGUGAUUGUGCCUUAACAGCGCUAAAUGGGCACUAAUUGUACAUUGCCAACAAUUUGGAUGGUGUCAAAAUUGUCACUGUAUUUUCCAGAAGAAAAGUGUUGUUCUGAUUUCAGGGGUUUAACUGACUUUUUUUUUCUUUAUUCAGUGUAUGCCCACACCCCACAGUCAUGACCUUUGCAGUGGGGCCAGAGCAUUCAGCAAAGUGAACAUUUGAACUGUUAGCUCAGCAGAAAGCAGGAUUUUCAUCCUGUGUGUAGCGCUUCUGUCUCGUGGUCCUGGCCCAUUCCUCUUCCAGUGGUGCAGAAUGAUGCUGUGCCCAGUAGAUUGUCAUUUGUAUCAAAGAAACUCAGAGUGAAAGAUAUUUCACCUGAGCCUUAUUUGAACGAAAACUGGGCCAAUGGGACAACUGCCGCUGUUGUAAUAGUUGGCAAUUAUACCACCUCUUUACUUUAUACUGAUUAUUUAUUGUGUUGUUAGACAAGAACAGAAGUGAUUGUGGUUGUGUGCUGAAAAUAAGAGCAGCUUUGGCUUGUUUUCAGUACAUUGGGUGUGACUUGGGGGAUUGGCUUUCGUUGUGAAGAGGCUUUGACUGUUUUAUUCAACUUGUACCUCACUGCAAAUGUUACAGUUUAAUAAAAAGUUUCAUUCUUACAAUAUCCCAUGGUCUUUGCUGGCUAAAAUUCACAAUGGCUGGCAUUUCUGCCACUGUCCAACACAUUUGGUAGCCGAGUCUUUAAUUACUUACUGUUAAUGGCAUUGUUGUUGAAUGUAUGUAUCACAGAAAGAAGAAUGAAAACAUUUAAUGUGAAAUAGUGACAUUUUGCAAGUUGUCACUGACAUCACAACUCUUAAAUGUGUGUAGACAAUAAUGUUAAUAGUUGUGUAUUUACUGUAAACUUAACGUAAGGAGUACAAUAAAUGCUCCUUCACAAAUUAAAUGACACCUGAACACUUUCUGUCACUGGGCCGUUUAAAUGUAUUUGAUUGUAACACUUGAUCGUUUACCUUCAACUCCUCGUCUUUUCCUGUGUGCCCGUAAUAUGUGCAAAACAGAACAAUGUAAAUGAACAGUUGUGAAUUUUAAGGAGCAUCCUCGCCAAGAAAGCCAAAAAAACAUUGAACAACUUGAAUAAACAUGAUAAAGUCAGAACAUGUGUGGAACAAACUGUGGCCUAAAGAACAGGAUCAAUUAUUAAUCCUCUGCUGAAAUCAAAAUUUUCACUGAAUGGGAAAGUGUGUCCAAAUAUCAAGGAAUUGUCCCCUUCAAAAUAUGAUGGUAAGCUGUGUUACAUAAGAUGUUCAAAACGGUUUGAGAACCAAAAAAAACUCAUAAAAUAUAUUAUAACACAAACCAUUGUAGACGCAGGACUAUUAUGGGGUUUGGCAACCAGAAUAUUUAGACUUUUUAAUCUGAGUCACUGCCUUCAUAAGUAAACCUUCUUCUUGUUUGUUUGGUGUCUUAUUUAUUCCGCAGUGAUUACUGUUGUGCUCUUCCAACUCAGAAACUUCCUUUUGUACAGACAAAUUCCCCUGACCUCAACAACCUGUCCCCCUACCAACUUUUUUUGUUAACAUAGAUGUUUGUGCACACUCACAGUGUUUGUAAAACUAUGAAUUCUGCAGAAUAUUUUUGGAGAAAAUUGCUGUACAGUAUUUGUAAGUUAUAUUUUUGUAUAUUGCUCUUUUGAAGAAGAUAAUAUGCAUUUGUUUUUCUUUUUUGCUAAUUUCAUGUUUAUUGCAUGUGACUGACUUGAAAUGUAAAUCAAAUUUCCAGUUUUGGG